RNAcentral lists this ribosomal RNA (2491 nucleotides) under anaerobic digester metagenome. RNAcentral describes it as "bacterial LSU rRNA". It matches the Rfam family "Bacterial large subunit ribosomal RNA", at positions 3 to 2502 of the family's 2925-position model. The record is from RNAcentral.
UUAAGCUACAAAGAGCGUAGGGUGGAUGCCUUGGCACUAGGCGCCGAAGAAGGACGUGACAAGCUGCGAUAAGCUGCGGGGAGGUGCAAAUGACCUUAGAUCCGCAGAUUUCCGAAUGGGGAAACCCAGUACGGGUAAUGCCGUACUAUCCAUACAUGAACACAUAGUGUAUGGAGGGGAACCCGGGGAACUGAAACAUCUUAGUACCCGGAGGAAGAGAAAGAAAGAAAUCGAUUUCCUGAGUAGUGGUGAGCGAAAGGGAAAGAGCCCAAACCGCGGUAUAGCGAUAUACUGCGGGGUAUGGACCCCGAUGUGGCACGAAGUUCUGUAGCAGAAGACAGCUGGAAAGCUGCCCCAGAGAGAGUAAAAGGCUCGUAGGCGAAACGGAACGGAGGCUUAGGGGAAUCCGGAGUACCACAGGACACGAGGAAUCCGGUGGGAAGGCGGGAGGACCAUCUCCCAAGGCUAAAUACGACCUAGUGACCGAUAGCGAAUUAGUACCGUGAGGGAAAGGUGAAAAGAACCCCGGGAGGGGAGUGAAAGAGAACCUGAAACCCUAUGCUUACAAGCAGACAGAGCACUACUGAAUAGUGUGAUGUCGUACUUUUUGUAGAACGGACCGGCGAGUUACGUUGCGUAGCGGGUUAAGGUAUUAAGUACCGGAGCCGAAGCGAAAGCGAGUUUGAAUAGAGCGGAAGUUGCGCGACGUAGACCCGAAACCGAUUGACCUAACCAUGUACAGGUUGAAGCAGUGGUAAGACACUGUGGAGGACCGAACCCACGCCUGUUGCAACAGUCGGGGAUGAUAUGUGGUUAGCGGAGAAAUUCCAAACGAAAUCGGAGAUAGCUGGUUCUCCCCGAAAUAGCUUUAGGGCUAGCCUCCGGGAUAAGAAUAUUGAAGGUAGAGCACUGAAUGGCCUAGGGGGUUUCACGACUUACCGAAGCUUAUCAAACUCCGAAUUUCAAUAUAUCGUUACCGGGGAGUCAGACAGUGGGAGAUAAGUUUCAUUGUCGAGAGGGAAACAGCCCAGACCCACGACUAAGGUCCCCAAGUUACAGUUAAGUGGUAAAGGAUGUGUUACUGCUAAGACAACCAGGAUGUUGGCUUAGAAGCAGCCAUUCAUUCAAAGAGUGCGUAAUAGCUCACUGGUCGAGUGGUAAUGCGCCGAAAAUGUAUCGGGGCUAAAACUGUACACCGAAGUCUGGGAACAUACGAAUGUAUGUUGGUAGGGGAGCAAUGUAUGCGGGCAGAAGCGUCAGCGGAAGCGGGCGUGGACUGCAUACAAGAGAGAAUGCCGGUAUGAGUAGCGUAAUCGGAGCGAGAAACUCCGACGUCGAAAGUCUAAGGUUUCCUGGGGAAGGUUCGUCCACCCAGGGUUAGUCGGGAACUAAGGCGAGGCCGAAAGGCGUAGCUGAUGAACAACAGGUAGAUAUUCCUGUACCGUCUUAGGACGCAUAAAUGAGGCAAUGACACAGAAGGAUAGUCCAACCGCGGCGAUGGAAGACCGCGGCCAAAGCAUGAGGCUGGUGCGUAGUGAAGUACGCGCACCUAAAGGCUGGGUGCUGAAGGGGAGUGAAAACUAGUAGCGAAGUGGAUGAAUUCACGCUGGCGAGAAAAGUUGCUAAAUAUGUCUGAGGACGCCCGUACCGCAAACCGCCACAGGUAGACGGCAAGAAAAUUGCAAGACGAACGGGAGAACCAUUGUUAAGGAACUCUGCAAAAUGACCCCGUAACUUCGGGAGAAGGGGUGCCUGCGUGAGCAGGCCGCAGUGAAGAGGCCCAAGCGACUGUUUACCAAAAACACAGGUUUCUGCUAAAGCGCAAGCUGAGGUAUAGGAGCUGACGCCUGCCCAGUGCUGGAAGGUUAAGGGGAAGUGUUAGAGCAAUCGAAGCACCGAACUUAAGCCCCAGUGAACGGCGGCCGUAACUAUAACGGUCCUAAGGUAGCGAAAUUCCUUGUCAGGUAAGUUCUGACCCGCACGAAUGGCGUAACGACUUGGGCGCUGUCUCAACAGUGGACCCGGCGAAAUUGUAGUAUACGUGAAGAUGCGUAUUACCCGCGACUGGACGGAGAGACCCCGUAGAGCUUUACUGUAGCUUGAUAUUGGGACUUGGUAAUUCAUGUACAGGAUAGGUGGGAGACAUGGAAGCAUGGGCGUCAGCUCAUGUGGAGUCACCCUUGGGAUACCACCCUUGAAUUAUUGAGUUUCUAACGGUUGGCCAUGAACUGGCAAUCGGACAGUGUCAGGUGGGCAGUUUGACUGGGGCGGUCGCCUCCCAAAAUGUAACGGAGGCGCUCAAAGGUUCCCUCAGAAUGGUUGGAAACCAUUCAAAGAGUGUAAAGGCAUAAGGGAGCUUGACUGUGAGACAGACAUGUCGAACAGGUACGAAAGUAGGACUUAGUGAUCCGGCGGUAGAGAAUGGAAUCGCCGUCGCUUAACGGAUAAAAGUUACCUCGGGGAUAACAGGCUUAUCUCCCCCAAGAGUUCA